UUUAGUGGGCUAGGGUUUAGGCUUCUAGAAUGCCUUGCAAGGCAAGGAAAUCAGAAAUUUUAAAGGCCUAGGUGCGGCAAAUUAGUGGGCUAGGGUUAGGGUUUGUAGAUAGGGCUUCUAGAAAGCCCAAAACCAAGAAUAGAAACUCUCGAAAACGGAAACCUCCAAGAAUAGAAACUUCCAACUUUAGAAACUUUGGUUUCUAAUUCUGAAUUCUUUGUUCUUCACAUUCAUUUCUUCAUUUCUUAAGCUCCUUUGCCCUUCAAACUCGUCCAUUCCUUGUGCUCCAAGCAUGUACUUUCCAAUCUAAGCUCCAUUUUGCUCCAAAAGGCUCCAAUUUGCAUCCUUUUAUGUCAUAUGCCCUUUAAGCCUGAAAACACAUGAAAGUAGCUCAAAAGACUACUUUAACGACGAAAACAUAACGAAAAUGCAUAAGAACUAGCUAACUAAGGCGCAUAAAUAUGCUCCUAUCACUAGGACACAAAACAAAAGCCUAGAACCCUUUUGAACCCUUGCCGCACCCCCCUUUGCAUUUCCUCUUCCUUAUUUCCUGUUUUUAUGCUUUAAAACACCUUCCUUUUGUGUUUUAAACCCUAGCCGAAUUUCCCUUGCUCUUUCCUUUAAUUUUCUGAUUUAUUUCCUAAUUCUAGAAUCCUUAGACUUAAUUUCUGAUUUCCUAAUCAACCUAGGGUUUUAAUUUCUGUUUUCCUUUAAAUAAACCUCCUUGUUGCAGCCACAAAACAUUCCACACACACCAUAAACAUCCAUUCACGCCAGGACCCUUCACCAUAACCAACCUAUAUCCAUCCUCCACCACAAAUCACCACGAAAACCAUCACCCAUCCCUUGUGCCGCAGAAAAGAAGAAGGAAUGAGACCCUUGGAGUGCUUGCAAUUCAAUUUUGGAUUGCUGGAUCAUUCUUAGGUGUUUUCAUUCUUUGUUUUUAAUGUCUAAAUUUAUGUAUCUUUGUUUUGCGAGUAUGAGGAACUAAACCCCUCUUGGCUAGGGGGAAUUUCGAAACCAUGAUUAUAUUUUCAAUAUGAAUUGAUUACCUUCAGUUGUGAUUUCAUAAGUUGUGAAUUCAAUUUGUUUAACUGCUUGAUUGAUAACUUAUUCGUGUAUGUUGAUUAUGGAGGCCUACUUAGUUUGCAUGCAUGAAUAUGAUGCUAGAGUAUAAGGGAGUUUCACCUAAUAGUUACAAACUUAUAUUCACAAGUAGUGGAGGUCGCUUAUAAACGAUCGCGUUAAAUGAAUUCUUGGCACUAGUUUCAUGCUCAUCAUAGUAACGAAUGCCUCGUCAAUACUUAUAGUUUUCAUGAUGCUUAAUGAUCUUUGAUUGUAUCUUUAUUGUGCUUUUCACGUAAAGAACUUUUGAAGAAUGCUUUGAAUUGUUGUAUGCGCUUUCCCAUCCAAUUCAUUAACUUAAGGAGAACUUGAAGGUUAAUUUAAGCGGACCUAAUUAACCUGGGGUGUUGAGUUUCAUGAUUUAUCAAAAGAACAACUGAAAAUUGGUUUAUGUGCAAGUGUGUCAUGUGUGGAGAAGGACCUUCUAGCUAAUCCAUCAUCCAUCCAUUCAUCUUAAUUUCGUCCAAAAUCUGUUUAGUUUUAAGUUUCUGUUUUGUUUUGCUUAUUUUUGUCCAAAAACCCAAUCCCCUUUACUUUGAAGUGUUAGAUUAGUUAAAAUCUGUUUUGAUUUGUGUUUCUAAGUGUUUUGAUCCAAGUUUUCAUCCAAAUUCGUCCAAGUUCUUGUUAGGUUCUCAAAACUGCCCAGAAAGUGGUUUUUAGGCAGUUUUGAGUCAUUAG
This 1803-nucleotide long non-coding RNA is filed under the name Malus domestica (apple). RNAcentral's name for it is "long non-coding RNA (MDOM_LNC018158)". The record is from RNAcentral. Lineage: Eukaryota; Viridiplantae; Streptophyta; Magnoliopsida; Rosales; Rosaceae.